AUACAGCCAUAGCUGUGGCAA
RNAcentral lists this microRNA (21 nucleotides) under Tetranychus urticae (two-spotted spider mite). RNAcentral's name for it is "tur-miR-5732-5p". Lineage: Eukaryota; Metazoa; Arthropoda; Arachnida; Trombidiformes; Tetranychidae. The record is from miRBase by way of RNAcentral.